CAGUAGCCGCGGUAAUACGAAGGGUGCAAGCGUCACUCGGAAUUACUGGGCGUAAAGCGUGCGUAGGUGGUGGUUUAAAUCCGUUGUGAAAGCCCUGGGCUCAACCUGGGAAUUGCAGUGGAUACUGGGUCACUAGAGUGUGGUAGAGGAUAGUGGAAUUUCCGGUGUAGCAGUGAAAUGCGUAGAGAUCGGAAGGAACAUCUGUGGCGAAGGCGACUAUCUGGGCCAACACUGACACUGAGGCACGAAAGCGUGGGGAGCAAACAGGAUUAGAUACCCCCGUAGUCCCUGUCUCUUAUAC
This 301-nucleotide ribosomal RNA is filed under the name uncultured bacterium. Its description in RNAcentral is "partial 16S ribosomal RNA". It matches the Rfam family "Bacterial small subunit ribosomal RNA", at positions 509 to 807 of the family's 1533-position model. The record is from RNAcentral.